UUAGAUACCCUGGUAGUCCACGCCGUAAACGAUGCUCACUCGCUGUUUGCGAUACACAGCAAGCGGCCAAGCGAAAGCAUUAAGUGAGCCACCUGGGGAGUACGAUCGCAAGGUUGAAACUCAAAGGAAUUGACGGGGGCCCGCACAAGCGGAGGAACAUGUGGUUUAAUUCGAUGAUACGCGAGGAACCUUACCUGGGCUUAAAUGCAGAAUGACAGAUUGUGAAAGCAGUCCUUCUUCGGACAUUCUGCAAGGUGCUGCAUGGUUGUCGUCAGCUCGUGCCGUGAGGUGUCGGGUUAAGUCCCAUAACGAGCGCAACCCCUGCUGAUAGUUGCCAUCAGGUCAAGCUGGGCACUCUAUCGGGACUGCCUCUGUAAGGAGGAGGAGGGUGGGGAUGACGUCAAAUCAGCACGGCCCUUACGUCCGGGGCGACACACGUGUUACAAUGGUAGGUACAGAGGGCAGCCACCCAGUGAUGGGGAGCAAAUCUCGAAAGCCUAUCUCAGUUCGGAUUGGAGGCUGAAACUCGCCUCCAUGAAGUUGGAUUCGCUAGUAAUCGCGCAUCAGCCAUGGCGCGGUGAAUACGUUCCCGGGCCUUGUACACACCGCCCGUCAAGCCAUGGAAGCUGGGGGUGCUUGAAGUUCGUGACCGCAAGGAGCGACCUAGGGCAAAACUGGUGACUGGGGCU
Molecule: ribosomal RNA, 689 nt
Filed under: uncultured bacterium
Lineage: Bacteria
Description: bacterial SSU rRNA
Rfam family: Bacterial small subunit ribosomal RNA
Source: RNAcentral